AGCAGUGACUUCAGGUGAGUAGAACUAAACCAAAUCUUUUAUUUUAAGAAAAUCAAAUGCCUAAAGCAUACUCAUACAUCAUGUUAUGUAAUAGGAUGAUUGCAUUAGCUUCACCAUGCCCAUGCACCAUGUUUAUAUGUGAUAGGAUGAUUGCAUUAGUUUCACGAAGGUGACGCAUUGCAUAAUUUGCUGUGUAUAUGAUGAGAUGGGUGGACCAAGGCGACCUCAAUAGCCCGCAAGUCUGUCAAUGAGUCUUUGUCAAUCGGGCGAGUACAUUUAGGAAAGCCCCAUGAGAGCUCCUUCGGGGCCAAGUUUUGACAGAGGGAAUGUUGGGGUCAUGUCUAACCCUGAGGGGAAGGACGUUUCGUGAACCCUCUAAAAUCACCCGCAAGAGGAAGAGAUUUGCUAGCGUGAACUCAAGCGGGG
This 426-nucleotide long non-coding RNA is filed under the name Manihot esculenta (cassava). Its description in RNAcentral is "long non-coding RNA (MESC_LNC004796)". Lineage: Eukaryota; Viridiplantae; Streptophyta; Magnoliopsida; Malpighiales; Euphorbiaceae. The record is from RNAcentral.